AUGCCAACUAAUCACUUUGGACGGGCUAUUCGACCCAGGGCAAAGACAUGGUUGCCACCACCAGAGUUUGCUGCAAAAUUCAACUGCGAUGGCUGUCUGUCUACCCUGGGGGAGAAAGGUGCAGCGGCAGUGGUCUGCAGGGACAAGGACGGGAAUUAUCUCGGGUCAUCGGCAUUAGUUUUUGGAGGCUUGUCUGAUACAUAUAGCCUGGAGGCAAAAGCAUGCUGUGAAGCACUGGCCCUUGCGCAAGAUCUUCAUUUACAAGACUUGGUGAUUGCCUCAGAUUGCCUAGAAGUUAUUUCAAACAUAAAGAGAGGAGGGUCUCCGGGGUAUGCUCAUAUUCUUAGGGAGAUUCAGUUUAGUAAAAACUUAUUUUCUUCUGUUGAGUUCCGUUUUGAGCAUAGGGAAAAUAAUUUCGAGACCCAUUUGCUAGCUAAAGGAGCUGCGUCUCCGGCGGUGGGUCGCCAAGUGUGGCUAGGGGUUCGUCCAGAUAUUGCUUGUAUUCCGUUUGUUUUGAACUCUGAAUAA
RNAcentral lists this ribosomal RNA (528 nucleotides) under Triticum aestivum (bread wheat). Its description in RNAcentral is "partial small subunit ribosomal RNA". The record is from RNAcentral. Lineage: Eukaryota; Viridiplantae; Streptophyta; Magnoliopsida; Poales; Poaceae.